RNAcentral lists this transfer RNA (70 nucleotides) under Regulus calendula. RNAcentral's name for it is "tRNA-Val". Lineage: Eukaryota; Metazoa; Chordata; Aves; Passeriformes; Regulidae. The record is from RNAcentral.
CAAGACGUAGCUUUAAUUAAAGCAUUCAGCUUACACCUGAAAGAUGCCCACUAACCCUGGACCGUCUUGA